RNAcentral lists this long non-coding RNA (433 nucleotides) under Brassica napus (rape). Its description in RNAcentral is "long non-coding RNA (BNAP_LNC026971)". Lineage: Eukaryota; Viridiplantae; Streptophyta; Magnoliopsida; Brassicales; Brassicaceae. The record is from RNAcentral.
UCGAUUGUUAGGAUAUCGGAUUGUGAUUAAUGUGAUGGUUUACGGUUUCAGGAUCUGCGGUUACUCGUAGUACGACCAAGAAGCCAUGAAGACUCAGUCAGCGCAAAGUUGUGUGGUGUAUAGGUAGAUCGAAUUAGGAAUGAACUUAUGAUAACCUAUAGUGCAACUUAAACCUAUGUAUUGAAUUUCAUUUUAUAUUAAUACAAGAUUGAUUUACCUUAUUGUUUAUACAUACUGGUCGAUUGUCUUAUGAACCUCAUAUGAUUGAAAAUGACAUAGUAAAUAUUGAACCUAAAAUGAAUCAAGAGUCGGAUUGAGUUGGUGUAAGGCCGCGGGUCUUAGUUGGGUUCAGGAUCCCAAGAUCGGGUCUUACAUGUCAUCUCACUAUUGAUUGUCUCCUUUUUCCCACCCAAGACAUCAAAUUUCAAAAACA